Molecule: ribosomal RNA, 460 nt
Filed under: uncultured bacterium
Lineage: Bacteria
Description: partial 16S ribosomal RNA
Rfam family: Bacterial small subunit ribosomal RNA
Source: RNAcentral
CCUACGGGUGGCAGCAGUGAGGAAUAUUGGUCAAUGGACGCAAGUCUGAACCAGCCAUGCCGCGUGCAGGAUGACGGCUCUAUGAGUUGUAAACUGCUUUUGUACGAGGGUAAACCCCGAUACGUGUAUCGUGUUGAAUGUAUCGUACGAAUAAGGAUCGGCUAACUCCGUGCCAGCAGCCGCGGUAAUACGGAGGAUCCGAGCGUUAUCCGGAUUUAUUGGGUUUAAAGGGUGCGUAGACGGGUUGUUAAGUUAGAGGUGAAAGGUCGCGGCUCAACCCCGAAACUGCAGCUAAUACUGGUGGACUAGAGAACAGUUGAGGUAGGCGGAAUGUGUGGUGUAGCGGUGAAAUGCUUAGAGAUCAGAGAGAACACCGAUUGCGAAGGCAGCUUACCAAACUAUAUCUGACGUUGAGGCACGAAAGCGUGGGUAGCAAACAGGAUUAGAUACCCUAGUAGUC